CUGGGCACUGAGAUCCUGCCAGCUGUGCUCAAGGAUACACAGGCACGAGGGCGAGGUAGCUCCUAGGGACGCAGCUCCCAGGGGCGCCCCUGGCUGUCAGCCCAGGCACCAGCUGCUGUGACCCCCUCCCUCCAACGACUGCUUGAGGAGGUUCUGCUCCCUGUUCGUGUUCUGGAGGAGGCCCCAGGAAGACCUGGCCGCCCACCUGCAGACUCACGUAGGAGGACUCACCUGGGAGGACUCCUGACGGCCACUCCUCAUGUCUGU
This 267-nucleotide long non-coding RNA is filed under the name Canis lupus familiaris (dog). RNAcentral's name for it is "lncRNA (ENSCAFG00040024558.1)". The record is from RNAcentral. Lineage: Eukaryota; Metazoa; Chordata; Mammalia; Carnivora; Canidae.